GUAAGUCGAAGACAGCUGCUGAGCUUUUAGCUCGAGGAAACUCCGUCCACCACACAGAACUAUAGUGUCUAAAGGCACAUGCUGAGAAGUAUGACUCUGGAGCAGAAACGAAACGUCUUUUAAUGAAUGAUUAUGAUGCAUUUUGCAGAUUGACAUUAAAAGGAUCGGUGAAACGGCCAAUCUAUAGGGUGCAAGAACAAAACAGCCAAUGACAACUGUUAGAGGCAAAGUAGUUCGCAAAGAUGAAUGCUGUUAAACAGAAGAUGGGUUACUCAUGUACAUAC
This 284-nucleotide RNase P RNA is filed under the name Methanobrevibacter filiformis. RNAcentral describes it as "Archaeal RNase P". It matches the Rfam family "Archaeal RNase P". From Rfam's summary of the family: Ribonuclease P (RNase P) is a ubiquitous endoribonuclease, found in archaea, bacteria and eukarya as well as chloroplasts and mitochondria. Its best characterised activity is the generation of mature 5'-ends of tRNAs by cleaving the 5'-leader elements of precursor-tRNAs. Cellular RNase Ps are ribonucleoproteins. The record is from Rfam by way of RNAcentral. Lineage: Archaea; Methanobacteriati; Methanobacteriota; Methanobacteria; Methanobacteriales; Methanobacteriaceae.